This 99-nucleotide transfer RNA is filed under the name Aureobasidium namibiae CBS 147.97. It matches the Rfam family "tRNA". Rfam says of the family: Transfer RNA (tRNA) molecules are approximately 80 nucleotides in length. Their secondary structure includes four short double-helical elements and three loops (D, anti-codon, and T loops). Lineage: Eukaryota; Fungi; Ascomycota; Dothideomycetes; Dothideales; Saccotheciaceae. The record is from Rfam by way of RNAcentral.
GGUUGUUUGGCGCAAUGGUAGCGCGUUCCCCUCCUAUGCUCACAUCCGAGGUAGUGUCCAAAAAGGGAAAGGCUCUGGGUUCGAGUCCCAGGAUGAUCA